Molecule: ribosomal RNA, 723 nt
Filed under: Triticum aestivum (bread wheat)
Lineage: Eukaryota; Viridiplantae; Streptophyta; Magnoliopsida; Poales; Poaceae
Description: partial small subunit ribosomal RNA
Source: RNAcentral
AUGGGCGAGACGAUUGAGGAUUUGGCACGCGAUGUCUCGGCGGUGCUUCUGCAGGCCAACGGUGAGCAAGAAGGGGCCGCCAUGGACAUGCAGAUAUGUAUGCUGCGCGAGCGGGUGCGCGAGCAGAUGGACGAACUAGUGCAGAGUUUGAUCUCGGCAGACAGGGAACAAGAGAAGCGGCAGGCGAUCCCCAAGUUGCAGUCCAUCGCCGAUACUAUCGGGCGGCUCUGUGUAGCCCACGGCCAACCGCCGGCCAUCGAGGAGUUGGAUGACGAGAAGGUCGAGGUGACGGACAGCGGCAACCAGCUGAAGGAGAAGGAGGAGAAAGAGGAAGAUGAUGAGACGGACAUGAGCGGCGGGGAAGGCGGAGUCGCGGAAGAAUCGGCGGUGGGCGGAGACAAUGCAGCCGCCGAGACCAACGCGUCCACGGAGACCAACCGGGCAUGCGACGAAGUCGACUACGCCGAGUACGAGGAGGAGGCAUUCGCUCGCUUCCGCAGGGGCUGGGAGCAUCUCUACGGCAACACCAAAAACAGCUUCGAAGACCUGACCUUGUUCAGUCCCAUGCUCUUUACACACUCCACGCCGGGCUUCAAGCCAAUGGACGCCGUCCUCGUGAGCACCGUGCGUGCAGAUCUGCUCCAUCAAAAUCACCGACUUGAAACACUUCGAGUGGCCGCUGCAAGUGUACGGCGUGGUUGCUGCCCGAGAUGCCGUGGAUGA